ANCCUUACCAACCCUUGNACAUGGAGGGGACCGANUCCAGAGAUGGANUUUUUCUCGUAAGAGANCCCCUCACACAGGUGCUGCAUGGCUGUCGUCAGCUCGUGUCGUGAGAUGUUCGGUUAAGUCCGGCAACGAGCGCAACCCACGUCUUUAGUUGCCAGCANUUCAGUUGGGCACUCUAAAGNAAACUGCCGGUGAUAAGCCGGAGGAAGGUGUGGAUGACGUCAAGUCCUCAUGGCCCUUACGGGUUGGGCUACACACGUGCUACAAUGGUGGUGACAAUGGGUUAAUCCCAAAAAGCCAUCUCAGUUCGGAUUGGGGUCUGCAACUCGACCCCAUGAAGUCGGAAUCGCUAGUAAUCGCGUAACAGCAUGACGCGGUGAAUACGUUCCCGGGCCUUGAACACACCGCCCGUCACACCAUGGGAAUUGGAUCUACCCGAAGGUGGUGCGCCAACCAGCAAUGGAGGCA
This 471-nucleotide ribosomal RNA is filed under the name uncultured bacterium. Its description in RNAcentral is "bacterial SSU rRNA". It matches the Rfam family "Bacterial small subunit ribosomal RNA", at positions 966 to 1451 of the family's 1533-position model. The record is from RNAcentral.